RNAcentral lists this ribosomal RNA (470 nucleotides) under uncultured Pseudomonadota bacterium. Its description in RNAcentral is "bacterial SSU rRNA". It matches the Rfam family "Bacterial small subunit ribosomal RNA", at positions 8 to 522 of the family's 1533-position model. The record is from RNAcentral. Lineage: Bacteria; Pseudomonadati; Pseudomonadota.
AGAGUUUGAUCAUGGCUCAGAACGAACGCUGGCGGCAGGCUUAACACAUGCAAGUCGAACGCGUGUAGCAAUACACGAGUGGCGCACGGGUGAGUAACACGUGGAUAUCUGCCUUUUGGUUCGGAAUAACCCUGGGAAACUAGGGCUAAUACCGAAUGGUUCCUACGGGAUAAAGAUUUAUCGCCAAAAGAUGAGUCCGCGUCCGAUUAGCUAGUUGGUGAGGUAAUGGCUCACCAAGGCGACGAUCGGUAGCUGGUCUGAGAGGACGAUCAGCCACACUGGGACUGAGACACGGCCCAGACUCCUACGGGAGGCAGCAGUGGGGAAUAUUGGACAAUGGGGGCAACCCUGAUCCAGCCAUGCCGCGUGAGUGAUGAAGGCCUUCGGGUUGUAAAGCUCUUUUGGCGGGGACGAUGAUGACGGUACCCGCAGAAUAAGCCCCGGCUAACUUCGUGCCAGCAGCCGCGGUA